UUUAUUCAUUCGUUUAUUUAUUAGUUUAUUUAUUUGUUUGGCUAUUUAUUUUAUUUAUUUUUUUAGUAGACGUAAAAAUUUCCAUUUCUUCAUGGGCCUACUACAAUGACAAAAUUAUCGACUUGAUAGAAAUGAAAAAAAAGAAGUACUUAAAAAAAAAGAAAAACGUAAUACAUGUUAAUAAAACAACAUCUUCUUCUACAUUUUGUCAUAAAUGUUAUAUUAAAAAUUCUUUUGAUAAUUGUAAUUGUGCAUUGUACAGUAGUUGCAAAAUGUUACCCAUAAAAAAAAUAAUAAAAAAUAGUAAAAAUUUAAUGUAUUGUUUAAAAAUUAUUAUUAAGAACAGUAUUAACAUAAUUAAAAAUAAGAAGAACAAAAAAAUAACGAAAAAAAGGAAAAAUAAUUUAUGCUACGUUUUUAAAUUUAAAAUUAAAAUAAAAGAAGAAUAUAGUACAGUCUAUUUAAUUAAUUUUCCUAUUUGCAAUAUAAAAAAUAAUAACAUUUUUUGUAAUAACAAUAAUGAAAAAACACUUUUAUUUUUAUUUAAUAAGAAAAUUAGAAAAACAAUAAAAAAUAUUAAUAAUUAUUCAAAUUUUAUAUUUCCAUUUAAUAAUUCAAAAGAUUGUCAGAAGGCUGAUAAUUUAAAAAAAAAAAUCAUUUAUUUUUUAAGUCGAAAAAAAAGUCCAUUUUAUAAAACCAACAAAAAUACGAACAAGUUAACUUGGGAAAAAAAAAAUAAUGAUAAAGACAUUAUUGAAAAAGAUGUAAAUUUAGAAUUGGUAGCGAGUGAUCAGCGAGAGUUGGUAAAGAGUGAUCAGCAAGAGUUGAUAAGGAGUGAUCAGCGAGAGUUAGUAACGCAUGAUCAGCGAGAGUUAGUAACGCAUGAUCAGCGAGAGUUAGUAACGAGUGAUCAGCAAAGGUUAGUAACGAGUGAUCAGCGAGAGUUAGUAACGAGUAGUCAGCGAGAGUUGGUAAAGAGUGAUCAGCAAGAGUUGAUAAGGAGUGAUCAGCGAGAGUUAGUAACGAGUGAAAAAUGUUUAAGUGAAAAUUCCACUUACAAAGCUUUUGAAAAAGAAAAGGAAAAAAAAGUAAAAGAAGAAUAUACAUCUUCUAUGCAUACGUUUAUGAACAAACAAACAGAAGAUAUAAAAAAGGAGCCCGUUUUUACAAAAUAUCGUAAAAAAGAUAUAAUUUUUCAUAUACACAUGUUCGAAUUAUUAAUAAGACUUAUAUUUGAUUAUUCUAAAACGUAUUUUACUUUUUUUAUUAGUAAAUUAACAUGUGUGGACGAAUUUUAUAAAAAUAUGUACUACUUAAACUUAAGUAAAUUAGUUAAUAUAAAAAUACAACAUAAAAAAAAAAAAAAAAAAAAAAGCGAAAAAGAUAUGAGCACAACAUCAGUAAAAAUGGCAACAGAAAUGAAUAUUAAAAACUUAAAUAUUAAAAAUGAAAGAAGUACAAAUAACUUGUUAAAUAAGUUAAUAAAAGAAAAUGAUGAUUAUAAAACGAAAAUAAAUGAAAAAGAUGAAAAAAUAAUAAGUUUGAAUAAUGAAAUAAAAAACAUUAAACAAAAUAUCAUACAAUUGGAAAAUGAAUUGACAAAACAGAAAGAUGAAAACUUAAAUAAAAUAAAAAUUAUUGAAAAUUUAAAAAACAAAAUACAUAAAAAAGAUGUAACACAAAAUGAUAAAAAUGAUAAAAAUAAUAGUACUGACCAAUUAUUAAAAAAUAGCAAUUAUAUAAAAAAAUUAUAUAAUGAAAAUAAUAUACUAAAAGAUAAAAUAAAAAAAUUAAAUAGUUUAACUAAAAGGCAAUGUAGUAGUUCUUUAAAUCCACUUCCAAAUAUAUUAGACAAAAAAGAAUUUUCAAAAACUGAUUUGGUUGAUAAUAAAGCGACAGCUGAUAUAGUUAUAAACACACAGAAAGAAAUUAUUGCAAAAAUUAAGAAAGAUCACAAUGAUUAUUUAGAAGAAUUUCAAAAAAGCAAAGAUGUUUUUAAAAAGGAAAUAGAAAAAUCUUUAGAUUUUAUAUAUUCAGUAUGCGAAGAUAUAAAAACGAAAAAAGAAAAGAUUUGUCUAACUAAUAGGAUAAAUAAAUUACAUGAAAACAUAAAUAAUUUUUUAUAUAAAUUUGAAAAGGAAUUGUAAAAAGCUUAUAAAAGAAUGGUCAACUUUUAAAUUUUGAUAUUUUUUUUAAAAAUGUUUGAAAUUAACCAAGUUACAAAAAAAGUAAAAGAAAUUAUUUAAUAAAAUAAAAACUCAUAAUUUUUUGCCUAAGUGG
RNAcentral lists this long non-coding RNA (2280 nucleotides) under Piliocolobus tephrosceles (Ugandan red Colobus). Its description in RNAcentral is "lncRNA (ENSPTEG00000007600.1)". The record is from RNAcentral. Lineage: Eukaryota; Metazoa; Chordata; Mammalia; Primates; Cercopithecidae.